UACGUAGGGGGCGAGCGUUGUCCGGAAUCAUUGGGCGUAAAGAGCGUGUAGGCGGCCCGGUAAGUCCGCUGUGAAAGUCCAGGGCUCAACCCUGGGAUGCCGGUGGAUACUGUCGGGCUUGAGUACGGAAGAGGCGAGUGGAAUUCCUGGUGUAGCGGUGAAAUGCGCAGAUAUCAGGAGGAACACCAAUUGCGAAGGCAGCUCGCUGGGACGUUACUGACGCUGAGACGCGAAAGCGUGGGGAGCAAACAGG
Molecule: ribosomal RNA, 253 nt
Filed under: uncultured bacterium
Lineage: Bacteria
Description: partial 16S ribosomal RNA
Rfam family: Bacterial small subunit ribosomal RNA
Source: RNAcentral